This 2344-nucleotide ribosomal RNA is filed under the name Salmonella enterica. RNAcentral's name for it is "bacterial LSU rRNA". It matches the Rfam family "Bacterial large subunit ribosomal RNA", at positions 690 to 2925 of the family's 2925-position model. Lineage: Bacteria; Pseudomonadati; Pseudomonadota; Gammaproteobacteria; Enterobacterales; Enterobacteriaceae. RNAcentral also lists the same sequence under 8 other names. The record is from RNAcentral.
GGGCGUUAAGUUGCAGGGUAUAGACCCGAAACCCGGUGAUCUAGCCAUGGGCAGGUUGAAGGUUGGGUAACACUAACUGGAGGACCGAACCGACUAAUGUUGAAAAAUUAGCGGAUGACCUGUGGCUGGGGGUGAAAGGCCAAUCAAACCGGGAGAUAGCUGGUUCUCCCCGAAAGCUAUUUAGGUAGCGCCUCGUGAAUUCAUCUCCGGGGGUAGAGCACUGUUUCGGCUAGGGGGCCAUCCCGGCUUACCAACCCGAUGCAAACUGCGAAUACCGGAGAAUGUUAUCACGGGAGACACACGGCGGGUGCUAACGUCCGUCGUGAAGAGGGAAACAACCCAGACCGCCAGCUAAGGUCCCAAAGUCAUGGUUAAGUGGGAAACGAUGUGGGAAGGCCCAGACAGCCAGGAUGUUGGCUUAGAAGCAGCCAUCAUUUAAAGAAAGCGUAAUAGCUCACUGGUCGAGUCGGCCUGCGCGGAAGAUGUAACGGGGCUAAACCAUGCACCGAAGCUGCGGCAGCGAACGUAUCACCCAAGACAACUUUACGGAGUUGACGAUUGACGGAGCGAAGCGACGUCAAAGCGUUCAUUAAAGUCGAGUUGGCUUAGGGAUACGUUCGUUGGGUAGGGGAGCGUUCUGUAAGCCUGUGAAGGUGUGUCGUGAGGCAUGCUGGAGGUAUCAGAAGUGCGAAUGCUGACAUAAGUAACGAUAAAGCGGGUGAAAAGCCCGCUCGCCGGAAGACCAAGGGUUCCUGUCCAACGUUAAUCGGGGCAGGGUGAGUCGACCCCUAAGGCGAGGCCGAAAGGCGUAGUCGAUGGGAAACGGGUUAAUAUUCCCGUACUUGGUGUUACUGCGAAGGGGGGACGGAGAAGGCUAUGUUGGCCGGGCGACGGUUGUCCCGGUUUAAGCGUGUAGGUGUGUGUUCCAGGUAAAUCCGGUUCACUUUAACACUGAGGCGUGACGACGAGGCACUACGGUGCUGAAGCAACAAAUGCCCUGCUUCCAGGAAAAGCCUCUAAGCAUCAGGUAACACGAAAUCGUACCCCAAACCGACACAGGUGGUCAGGUAGAGAAUACCAAGGCGCUUGAGAGAACUCGGGUGAAGGAACUAGGCAAAAUGGUGCCGUAACUUCGGGAGAAGGCACGCUGACACGUAGGUGAAGUGAUUUACUCAUGGAGCUGAAGUCAGUCGAAGAUACCAGCUGGCUGCAACUGUUUAUUAAAAACACAGCACUGUGCAAACACGAAAGUGGACGUAUACGGUGUGACGCCUGCCCGGUGCCGGAAGGUUAAUUGAUGGGGUCAGCGUAAGCGAAGCUCCUGAUCGAAGCCCCGGUAAACGGCGGCCGUAACUAUAACGGUCCUAAGGUAGCGAAAUUCCUUGUCGGGUAAGUUCCGACCUGCACGAAUGGCGUAAUGAUGGCCAGGCUGUCUCCACCCGAGACUCAGUGAAAUUGAACUCGCUGUGAAGAUGCAGUGUACCCGCGGCAAGACGGAAAGACCCCGUGAACCUUUACUAUAGCUUGACACUGAACAUUGAGCCUUGAUGUGUAGGAUAGGUGGGAGGCUUUGAAGUGUGGACGCCAGUCUGCAUGGAGCCGACCUUGAAAUACCACCCUUUAAUGUUUGAUGUUCUAACGUGGACCCGUAAUCCGGGUUGCGGACAGUGUCUGGUGGGUAGUUUGACUGGGGCGGUCUCCUCCUAAAGAGUAACGGAGGAGCACGAAGGUUGGCUAAUCCUGGUCGGACAUCAGGAGGUUAGUGCAAUGGCAUAAGCCAGCUUGACUGCGAGCGUGACGGCGCGAGCAGGUGCGAAAGCAGGUCAUAGUGAUCCGGUGGUUCUGAAUGGAAGGGCCAUCGCUCAACGGAUAAAAGGUACUCCGGGGAUAACAGGCUGAUACCGCCCAAGAGUUCAUAUCGACGGCGGUGUUUGGCACCUCGAUGUCGGCUCAUCACAUCCUGGGGCUGAAGUAGGUCCCAAGGGUAUGGCUGUUCGCCAUUUAAAGUGGUACGCGAGCUGGGUUUAGAACGUCGUGAGACAGUUCGGUCCCUAUCUGCCGUGGGCGCUGGAGAACUGAGGGGGGCUGCUCCUAGUACGAGAGGACCGGAGUGGACGCAUCACUGGUGUUCGGGUUGUCAUGCCAAUGGCACUGCCCGGUAGCUAAAUGCGGAAGAGAUAAGUGCUGAAAGCAUCUAAGCACGAAACUUGCCCCGAGAUGAGUUCUCCCUGAGACUUAGAGUCUCCUGAAGGAACGUUGAAGACGACGACGUUGAUAGGCCGGGUGUGUAAGCGCAGCGAUGCGUUGAGCUAACCGGUACUAAUGAACCGUGAGGCUUAACCUU